UCAGUGCUGGAACUCUUGUUUCCUAGCCAGUAAUUGAUUGCUCUUCAGAACAUUUACCGAAUUCCACAGGAGAGCAUUUCAAGCUUGCAAAGUGUUAGAUACUGGCUGAUAUAGUAACUGAGUCUUUAAUAGGCAAUUCCAGCUACAUAUGGGUAAUGAGCAAGCAGAUGUGACCAAUGCAUUUUUAUAACAUUUCCUUAUUUCUUUUUAUAGUUAAAAGGACUUUCUUGGCCAGAAGCAAUAUUGUGUGAUAUUCCAUGAGGAUGAAAAAGCCAUCUCGUAAGUCUAUGAGUCCCUUUGUUUAUGCUGAGCUGUCUGGAUCUGGGGGAGGAGUUACACAGAACAGAAGCACAGAAUCCAGCACAGCACUGGGUCUCCCUCAAGGCCCACAGUAACCAGUGCCUGGCGACUUCCUAUGAAAGCUCAAGGCCCUAGGGCUCUACAAUCAGCAAGUGGUGAAUCCAGCCAGGCUUGUGUCCUUGCUUUCAGAGUGGCAAGUUCCCAUAGUUCCCAGAGGAAGAAAUAGAGUCCUUCACCUAUAGCACAAGAGGGGCCCAUGCAGACCAUCUUCCUAUAUUGGCUGUAUGACAAGACCUGCUCUUCAUGGCACCUGUUUGAAGCCGAACUUGCUCUGCUUCUUCUCUAUGAGAGGAGAGCGUUGUUCCAUUCAGCACCUGUGUGAAUCCUGUCUUUCUUGGUGAUGCUUUCUUGGUGACUUGAUGCAGUGAGGUGACAUCCUGGGACUGCUGCUCCUGGUGGUAGGCAUUGUCAUGCUCUUUGCUGUCCUCCCUGCAGUGGACUCCUCCCCUAGAGGUGGUAAGAGGUGUCAUUUGCUUGACAAGGACCAAAAUGCCACCUAUCUGAAGAGGCCAGAGACCAAAUACUGGGACUGUUAGGUUAAUACCAAACUUCAAGAGCUAAAAAUCAAAAUUCAGCGAUAUUAUUUUUAAAAUAUAGAUAAGCAAAAAGGAAAAACUAUUUGUAAUCCUGCCACUAAAACACACCUACUAAUAGG
Macaca mulatta (Rhesus monkey) is the source of this 1015-nucleotide non-coding RNA. The record is from RefSeq and is a predicted model, not a curated record. Lineage: Eukaryota; Metazoa; Chordata; Mammalia; Primates; Cercopithecidae.